RNAcentral lists this ribosomal RNA (242 nucleotides) under uncultured bacterium. RNAcentral describes it as "partial 16S ribosomal RNA". It matches the Rfam family "Bacterial small subunit ribosomal RNA", at positions 524 to 765 of the family's 1533-position model. The record is from RNAcentral.
UACGUAGGGGGCAAGCGUUUGUCCGGAUUUAUUGGGCGUAAAGAGCGUGUAGGCGGCUAGGUAGGUCCGUUGUGAAAACUCGAGGCUCAACCCUCGAGACGUCGAUGGAACCAUCUGGCUAGAGUCCGGAAGAGGAGAGUGGAAUUCCUGGUGUAGCGGUGAAAUGCGUAGAUAUCUGGAGGAACACCGGUGGCGAAGGCGGCAUCCUGGACCAACACUGACACUGAGGAGCGAAGCCAGGG